Non-coding RNA from Stegodyphus mimosarum, 73 nucleotides. Lineage: Eukaryota; Metazoa; Arthropoda; Arachnida; Araneae; Eresidae. The record is from Rfam.
GCCUUCGUGGUGUAGUGGUCAGCACGCUGGGUGCGUAUUCUAGAGGUCUGUGGUUCGAAUCCCAGCGAAGGCU